This 520-nucleotide ribosomal RNA is filed under the name uncultured Glomus. RNAcentral describes it as "SSU rRNA". It matches the Rfam family "Eukaryotic small subunit ribosomal RNA", at positions 569 to 1088 of the family's 1831-position model. Lineage: Eukaryota; Fungi; Glomeromycota; Glomeromycetes; Glomerales; Glomeraceae. The record is from RNAcentral.
AGCAGCCGCGGUAAUUCCAGCUCCAAUAGCGUAUAUUAAAGUUGUUGCAGUUAAAAAGCUCGUAGUUGAAUUUCGGGGUCAGUAGGUCGGUCGUGCCACUGGUAUGAACUGGUUUUACUGAUUCCUCCCUCUUGAAGAACUGUAAUGCCAUUAAUUUGGUGUUGCAGGGAAUCAGGACUGUUACUUUGAAAAAAUUUAGAGUGUUUAAAGCAGGCUUUAGCUUGAAUACAUUAGCAUGGAAUAAUGAAAUAGGACGUUUGAUCCUAUUUUGUUGGUUUCUAGGAUUGACGUAAUGAUUAAUAGGGAUAGUUGGGGGCAUUAGUAUUCAAUUGUCAGAGGUGAAAUUCUUGGAUUUAUUGAAGACUGACUACUGCGAAAGCAUUUGCCAAGGAUGUUUUCAUUAAUCAAGAACGAAAGUUAGGGGAUCGAAGACGAUCAGAUACCGUCGUAGUCUUAACCAUAAACUAUGCCGACUAGGGAUCGGAUGAUGUUAAUUUUUUUAAUGACUCAUUCGGCGCCU